AGGAAAAAAAGAAAGUGACUUGGGUCCAUUUUCUGCAUGGAAUAUAAUUGGAACAUAUAGAGUCGAUCAGAGGACAAAACUAAUUUAAUUGAGGAAGUAUCUUGGUUUGAUUAUGGACAUAGAGGGAUGCAGUUUAUUUUUACAGGUUUGGUAUCCUUCUUUGGGUGCUGACCCUUUUAAGCAGGAGGAUUUCUUACAGGGACAAACGCGAAGAAGCUUUGAGGCUGGCUCCGUUAUCAGCAAAGAAGCCUCAUUUUUCUCACUGUUUGGAGUGGCUUCUCUUUAGGGUGUUUGAUGCAGAAAUAUCCAGGUACAUUCAAUGAGAAUAAAAUUACCUCAAAAGUACAAUGGUUCUGUUUUUGGCCAUUAUCUAAAUGGAGUAAUGUUUAUAGUAGUUUUGUUAAGCAAAACAUUACUGGGUCUUUUUGCUAACUUGG
Molecule: long non-coding RNA, 437 nt
Organism: Humulus lupulus (European hop)
Lineage: Eukaryota; Viridiplantae; Streptophyta; Magnoliopsida; Rosales; Cannabaceae
Exons: 4
Source: RefSeq, a predicted model, not a curated record